RNAcentral lists this small RNA (132 nucleotides) under Arabidopsis thaliana (thale cress). RNAcentral's name for it is "ATSL087410". Lineage: Eukaryota; Viridiplantae; Streptophyta; Magnoliopsida; Brassicales; Brassicaceae. The record is from RNAcentral.
AAAUGUGAUAUGAGUCUAAUUACCCUAAUGACUACUCUCACAAAUAAAGAGGUUGUUAUAGCACUUGGAGAUCGAAUUCCACAAAGCUCUCAGAUCACACAAUAGACUAACAGUUUCGAAUUAAGCUAAACA